This 253-nucleotide ribosomal RNA is filed under the name uncultured bacterium. RNAcentral describes it as "partial 16S ribosomal RNA". It matches the Rfam family "Bacterial small subunit ribosomal RNA", at positions 524 to 776 of the family's 1533-position model. The record is from RNAcentral.
UACGUAGGGUGCAAGCGUUGUCCGGAAUUAUUGGGCGUAAAGAGCUCGUAGGCGGUUUGUCGCGUCGGCUGUGAAAACCCGGAGCUCAACUCCGGGCCUGCAGUCGAUACGGGCAGACUGGAGUUCGGCAGGGGAGACCGGAAUUCCUGGUGUAGCGGUGAAAUGCGCAGAUAUCAGGAGGAACACCGGUGGCGAAGGCGGGGCUCUGGGCGAAUACUGACGCUGAGAAGCGAAAGCGUGGGGAGCGAACAGG